RNAcentral lists this ribosomal RNA (1591 nucleotides) under Liagora boergesenii. RNAcentral's name for it is "LSU rRNA". It matches the Rfam family "Eukaryotic large subunit ribosomal RNA", at positions 494 to 2166 of the family's 3401-position model. Lineage: Eukaryota; Rhodophyta; Florideophyceae; Nemaliales; Liagoraceae. The record is from RNAcentral.
GGUGGUGUCGCUUGUUCAGCGCCUUUGGCGUGCAUUCUGGCGAUACCUUGUCGUUGUGGCUGGCUAGUAUGUGAUUUUGACGUACUGGCUGGUGAGGGCUCCCUUCCGGUGAGGACAACGACAAAAUGACGCAAUACGACCCGUCUUGAAACACGGACCAAGGAGUCUAGCACGGCUGCGAGUCGAAGGGUGUAAAACCCAAGGGCGCAGUGAAAGCGAAUUUAUAAGCAAAUUGGGGAGGCGUGGAGUUUUUAACAAAAUGUCCUACCUUGAGCAUUUGUGCUGGGACCCGAAAGAUGGUGAACUAUGCCGGAGUAGGGCAAAGCCAGAGGAAACUCUGGUGGAGGCUCGUAGCGAUGCUGACGUGCAAAUCGCUCGUCGAACUUGGGUAUAGGGGCGAAAGACUAAUCGAACCAUCUAGUAGCUGGUUCCCUCCGAAGUUUCUCUCAGGAUAGCGGGCCGACAUAUGUUGUUUUGUGCGGUAAAGCGAAUGAUUAGUGCAUUUGGGGUCUGAUAGACUUCGGGCGAUUCUCAAACUUUAAAUGCGCAAGGGGGUGGCUGCUUAAUUGAGCCUACUCUUUGAAAAACGUCGGCCCUGUGGGCCACUUUUGGUAAGCAGAACUGGCGAUAAGGGAUGAACCUUAAGCGCGGUUAAGGCGCCGCAUUGCCCGCUUAUAGACCCCACAAAAGGUGUUGAUUCAUUUAGACAGCAGGACGGUGGCCAUGGAAGUCGGAAUCCGCUAAGGAGUGUGUAACAACUCACCUGCCGAAUGAAUUAGCCCUGAAAAUGGAUGGCGCUUAAGCGGGCAGCCGACACCGCGCCGUUCCGGCGAGACGAUGCCGGGAUGAGUAGGAGGGCGUGGCGGUCAGUGACGCAGGCGAGGGUGCAGACCCCGCUGAAACGGCCGCUAGUGCAGAUCUUGGUGGUAGUAGCAAAUAUUCAAGCGAGAUCCUUGAAGGGUGAAGCGGGGAAGGGUUCCACGCAAACAUUGAUUGGGCGUGGGUGAGUCGUUCCUAAGCCGAGUGGCAAUUGCUAAGUAGCGGCGAAAGGGAAGCGGGUUAAAAUUCCCGCACACGGAUAUGGAGGGGGCGACGCAAGCAGAGGCAAAUACGCUGGCGAGGGCGUUGGGCAGAGUUGUCUUUUCUGUUUGACCGGCAUCGCGUUGUGUGGAAUCCGGUUAUCGGGAGAAACACGCGCGGGGAGGGGCAGAGCGUCAGGUCUUUUCUGGCGUCCGGCCGCCCUCGACGGCCCUUGAAAAUUUGCCCGCGAACUUAAAUUUCAUGCUGUGACGUACCGAUAACCGCAUCAGGUCCCCAAGGUGAACAGCCUCUGCUCAAUAUGAACAAUGCAGGUAAGGGAAGUCGGCAAAAAAGACCCGUAAUUUUGGGAAAAGGGUUGGCUCUAGUGGAGCGGGGGUUUUCAAAGGGAGCUCACCUGUGCUUGGCGCCGGGCGGGUGUGGGUAGCUCACGCUGGACGUGCCUGCUCCGGGUCUUGCGCGGGGGACGUUUCUCGCCCUCAGCAUGCUCCAAAUUAGAACUGCAACGGGCAAAGGGAAUCCGACUGUUUAAUUAAAACAAAGCAUUGCGAAG